UGGCUUAGAAGCAGCCACCCUUUAAAGAAAGCGUAAUAGCUCACUGAUCGAGUCGUCCUGCGCGGAAGAUGUAACGGGGCUAAGCCAUAUACCGAAGCUGCGGAUGCGAGCUAGUCUCGCAUGGUAGGAGAGCGUUCCGUAAGCCUGCGAAGGUGCGUUGAAAAGCGUGCUGGAGGUAUCGGAAGUGCGAAUGCUGACAUGAGUAGCGAUAAAGGGGGUGAAAGGCCCCCUCGCCGUAAGCCCAAGGUUUCCUACGCAACGUUCAUCGGCGUAGGGUGAGUCGGCCCCUAAGGCGAGGCAGAAAUGCGUAGCUGAUGGGAAGCAGGUCAAUAUUCCUGCACCAUUGUUAGAUGCGAUGGGGGGACGGAUCGCGGAAGGUUGUCCGGGUGUUGGAAGUCCCGGUCGCUGCAUUGGAGAAGGCGCUUAGGCAAAUCCGGGCGCAGGAUUCAAGGGUGUGGCGCGAGCUCCUUCGGGAGCGAAGCAAUUGGAAGUGGUUCCAAGAAAAGCCUCUAAGCUUCAGUCUAACGAUGACCGUACCGCAAACCGACACAGGUGGGCGAGAUGAGUAUUCUAAGGCGCUUGAGAGAACUCGGGAGAAGGAACUCGGCAAAUUGGUACCGUAACUUCGGGAUAAGGUACGCCCUGGUAGCUUGACUGGCCUGCGCCAGAAGGGUGAAGGGGUUGCAAUAAACUGGUGGCUGCGACUGUUUAAUAAAAACACAGCACUCUGCAAACACGAAAGUGGACGUAUAGGGUGUGACGCCUGCCCGGUGCCGGAAGAUUAAAUGAUGGGGUGCAAGCUCUUGAUUGAAGUCCCGGUAAACGGCGGCCGUAACUAUAACGGUCCUAAGGUAGCGAAAUUCCUUGUCGGGUAAGUUCCGACCUGCACGAAUGGCGUAACGAUGGCCACACUGUCUCCUCCCGAGACUCAGCGAAGUUGAAGUGUUUGUGAUGAUGCAAUCUACCCGCGGCUAGACGGAAAGACCCCAUGAACCUUUACUGUAGCUUUGCAUUGGACUUUGAACCGAUCUGUGUAGGAUAGGUGGGAGGCUAUGAAACCGGAACGCUAGUUUCGGUGGAGCCGUCCUUGAAAUACCACCCUGGUUUGUUUGAGGUUCUAACCUUGGCCCGUGAUCCGGGUCGGGGACAGUGCAUGGUAGGCAGUUUGACUGGGGCGGUCUCCUCCCAAAGCGUAACGGAGGAGUACGAAGGUACGCUAGGUACGGUCGGAAAUCGUGCUGAUAGUGCAAUGGCAUAAGCGUGCUUAACUGCGAGACCGACAAGUCGAGCAGGUGCGAAAGCAGGUCAUAGUGAUCCGGUGGUUCUGUAUGGAAGGGCCAUCGCUCAACGGAUAAAAGGUACUCUGGGGAUAACAGGCUGAUACCGCCCAAGAGUUCAUAUCGACGGCGGUGUUUGGCACCUCGAUGUCGGCUCAUCUCAUCCUGGGGCUGUAGCCGGUCCCAAGGGUAUGGCUGUUCGCCAUUUAAAGAGGUACGUGAGCUGGGUUUAAAACGUCGUGAGACAGUUUGGUCCCUAUCUGCCGUGGGCGUUGGAAGUUUGAAGGGGGCUGCUCCUAGUACGAGAGGACCGGAGUGGACGAACCUCUGGUGUACCGGUUGUGACGCCAGUCGCAUCGCCGGGUAGCUAUGUUCGGAAGAGAUAACCGCUGAAAGCAUCUAAGCGGGAAACUCGCCUUAAGAUGAGACUUCCCCGGGGACUUGAUCCCCUUGA
Molecule: ribosomal RNA, 1731 nt
Filed under: Burkholderia pseudomallei DL36
Lineage: Bacteria; Pseudomonadati; Pseudomonadota; Betaproteobacteria; Burkholderiales; Burkholderiaceae
Description: bacterial LSU rRNA
Rfam family: Bacterial large subunit ribosomal RNA
Source: RNAcentral